Molecule: ribosomal RNA, 482 nt
Filed under: uncultured bacterium
Lineage: Bacteria
Description: bacterial SSU rRNA
Rfam family: Bacterial small subunit ribosomal RNA
Source: RNAcentral
CGAGUUUGAUCAUGGCUCAGAACGAACGCUGGCGGCAGGCUUAACACAUGCAAGUCGAACGCUCGUAGCAAUACGGGAGUGGCGGACGGGUGAGUAACGCGUGGGAACGUGCCCUGAGGUACGGAAUAACUGAGGGAAACUUCAGCUAAUACCGUAUGAGCCCCGAGAGGGGGAAAGAUUUAUCGCCUUGGGAGCGGCCCGCGUCGGAUUAGCUAGUUGGUGGGGUAACGGCCUACCAAGGCUUCGAUCCGUAGCUGGUCUGAGAGGACGAUCAGCCACACUGGGACUGAGACACGGCCCAGACUCCUACGGGAGGCAGCAGUGGGGAAUCUUGCGCAAUGGGGGCAACCCUGACGCAGCCAUGCCGCGUGAACGAUGAAGGCCUUAGGGUUGUAAAGCUCUUUCAGCCGGAAAGAAAUCGCGCAGGAUAAUACUCUGCGUGGAUGACGGUACCGGAAGAAGAAGCACCGGCUAACUACGUG